Molecule: ribosomal RNA, 448 nt
Filed under: uncultured Flavobacteriia bacterium
Lineage: Bacteria; Pseudomonadati; Bacteroidota; Flavobacteriia
Description: bacterial SSU rRNA
Rfam family: Bacterial small subunit ribosomal RNA
Source: RNAcentral
CUACGUGUAGAGGGCUGAAUGUACUAAACGAAUAAGCACCGGCUAACUCCGUGCCAGCAGCCGCGGUAAUACGGAGGGUGCAAGCGUUAUCCGGAAUCAUUGGGUUUAAAGGGUCCGCAGGCGGAUGUAUAAGUCAGUGGUGAAAUCCUGCAGCUUAACUGCAGAACUGCCAUUGAUACUGUACAUCUUGAAUUCGGUCGAAGUGGGCGGAAUGUGUAGUGUAGCGGUGAAAUGCAUAGAUAUUACACAGAACACCGAUAGCGAAGGCAGCUCACUAGGCCUGGAUUGACGCUCAGGGACGAAAGCGUGGGGAUCAAACAGGAUUAGAUACCCUGGUAGUCCACGCUGUAAACGAUGAUUACUCGUUUUCGGCGAUAUACAGUCGGAGACUAAGCGAAAGUGAUAAGUAAUCCACCUGGGGAGUACGAUCGCAAGGUUGAAACUCAAA